UACGGAAGGCAGCAGGGGGGAAUAUUGCACAAUGGGCGCAAGCCUGAUGCAGCCAUGCCGCGUGUAUGAAGAAGGCCUUCGGGUUGUAAAGUACUUUCAGUCGUGAGGAAGGUGUUAAGGUUAAUAACCUUAGCAAUUGACGUUAGCGACAGAAGAAGCACCGGCUAACUCCGUGCCAGCAGCCGCGGUAAUACGGAGGGUGCGAGCGUUAAUCGGAAUUACUGGGCGUAAAGGGCACGCAGGCGGUUAAUUAAGUUGGAUGUGAAAUCCCCGGGCUUAACCUGGGAAUGGCAUUCAAGCUGGUUAGCUAGAGUCUUGUAGAGGGGGUAGAAUUCCAUGUGUAGCGGUGAAAUGCGUAGAGAUGUGGAGGAAUACCGGUGGCGAAGGCGGCCCCUGGACAAAGACUGACGCUCAUGUGCGAAAGCGUGGGGAGCAAACAGGGAUUAGAUACC
RNAcentral lists this ribosomal RNA (452 nucleotides) under uncultured bacterium. RNAcentral describes it as "bacterial SSU rRNA". It matches the Rfam family "Bacterial small subunit ribosomal RNA", at positions 340 to 786 of the family's 1533-position model. The record is from RNAcentral.